Molecule: ribosomal RNA, 411 nt
Filed under: uncultured Methanosaeta sp.
Lineage: Archaea; Methanobacteriati; Methanobacteriota; Methanomicrobia; Methanotrichales; Methanotrichaceae
Description: bacterial SSU rRNA
Rfam family: Archaeal small subunit ribosomal RNA
Source: RNAcentral
CGACCGGGGCGACAGCAAUAUGAAGGCCAGGCUGAAGACUUUGCCGGAUUAGCUGAGAGGUGGUGCAUGGCCGUCGUCAGUUCGUACUGUGAAGCAUCCUGUUAAGUCAGGCAACGAGCGAGACCCACGCCCACAGUUGCCAGCGUACUCUCUGGAGUGACGGGUACACUGUGGGGACCGCCGCUGCUAAAGCGGAGGAAGGAAUGGGCAACGGUAGGUCAGUAUGCCCCGAAUAUCCCGGGCUACACGCGAGCUACAAUGGUUGGUACAAUGGGUAUCUACCCCGAAAGGGGACGGGAAUCUCCUAAAACCAAUCUUAGUUCGGAUUGAGGGCUGCAACUCGCCCUCAUGAAGCUGGAAUCCGUAGUAAUCGCGUUUCAACAGAACGCGGUGAAUACGUCCCUGCUCCUU